Molecule: ribosomal RNA, 293 nt
Filed under: uncultured bacterium
Lineage: Bacteria
Description: partial 16S ribosomal RNA
Rfam family: Bacterial small subunit ribosomal RNA
Source: RNAcentral
GUGUCAGCAGCCGCGGUAACACGUAGGCACCAAGCGUUGUCCGGAUUUAUUGGGCGUAAAGAGCUCGUAGGCGGUUCAGUAAGUCGGGUGUGAAAACUCUGGGCUCAACCCAGAGACGCCACCCGAUACUGCUGUGACUUGAGUACGGUAGGGGAGUGGGGAAUUCCUGGUGUAGCGGUGAAAUGCGCAGAUAUCAGGAGGAACACCAGUGGCGAAGGCGCCACUCUGGGCCGUAACUGACGCUGAGGAGCGAAAGCGUGGGUAGCAAACAGGAUUAGAUACCCGCGUAGUCC